UUAAUUGAAGAGUUUGAUCAUGGCUCAGAUUGAACGCUGGCGGCAGGCCUAACACAUGCAAGUCGAGCGGUAACAGAUUGAUAGCUUGCUAUCAGUGCUGACGAGCGGCGGACGGGUGAGUAAUGCCUGGGAAUAUACCCUGAUGUGGGGGAUAACUAUUGGAAACGAUAGCUAAUACCGCAUAAUCUCUUCGGAGCAAAGAGGGGGACCUUCGGGCCUCUCGCGUCAGGAUUAGCCCAGGUGGGAUUAGCUAGUUGGUGGGGUAAUGGCUCACCAAGGCGACGAUCCCUAGCUGGUCUGAGAGGAUGAUCAGCCACACUGGAACUGAGACACGGUCCAGACUCCUACGGGAGGCAGCAGUGGGGAAUAUUGCACAAUGGGGGAAACCCUGAUGCAGCCAUGCCGCGUGUAUGAAGAAGGCCUUCGGGUUGUAAAGUACUUUCAGUUGUGAGGAAGGCGUUGGAGUUAAUAGCUUCAGCGCUUGACGUUAGCAACAGAAGAAGCACCGGCUAACUCCGUGCCAGCAGCCGCGGUAAUACGGAGGGUGCGAGCGUUAAUCGGAAUUACUGGGCGUAAAGCGCAUGCAGGCGGUCUGUUAAGCAAGAUG
RNAcentral lists this ribosomal RNA (607 nucleotides) under Photobacterium phosphoreum. RNAcentral's name for it is "bacterial SSU rRNA". It matches the Rfam family "Bacterial small subunit ribosomal RNA", at positions 1 to 594 of the family's 1533-position model. Lineage: Bacteria; Pseudomonadati; Pseudomonadota; Gammaproteobacteria; Vibrionales; Vibrionaceae. The record is from RNAcentral.